AACGAACGCUGGCGGCAGGCCUAACACAUGCAAGUCGAACGCCCUGGCAACAGGGAGUGGCAGACGGGUGAGUAACGCGUGGGAACGUGCCCUUCGGUUCGGAAUAACUCAGGGAAACUUGAGCUAAUACCGGAUACGUGCGAGAGCAGAAAGAUUUAUCGCCGAAGGAUCGGCCCGCGUCCGAUUAGCUAGUUGGUGAGGUAACGGCUCACCAAGGCGACGAUCGGUAGCUGGUCUGAGAGGAUGAUCAGCCACACUGGGACUGAGACACGGCCCAGACUCCAACAGGAGGCAGCAGUGGGGAAGAUUGGACAAUGGGCGCAAGCCUGAUCCAGCCAUGCCGCGUGAGUGAUGAAGGCCCUAGGGUUGUAAAGCUCUUUCGCCAGGGACGAUAAUGACGGUACCUGGAUAAGAAGCCCCGGCUAACUUCGUGCCAGCAGCCGCAGUAA
RNAcentral lists this ribosomal RNA (449 nucleotides) under uncultured bacterium. Its description in RNAcentral is "partial 16S ribosomal RNA". It matches the Rfam family "Bacterial small subunit ribosomal RNA", at positions 29 to 523 of the family's 1533-position model. The record is from RNAcentral.